AUGAAAUCAGCCAAGUCCCUAAAUCAUCUUAGUUAGGUCUGGGCUUUAACUAUUGUUGGACUGAGUUGGUUUCGUCUGGACACGAACCGAACGGUUCCAGACCGUCUCGACCCAUAGUCUGAAACCAGAUCGAUAGACCAGAUCGCGACCUAGGUGAGGAGCUCCUCUGCCCUCCGCGAGCCAUGGCCUCCGCCCGCCACUGGUAGGGAUCUUCUGCUGCCGCUGCCGACCAAAUCGUAGCGAUCUUCUGCCGCCGGCUGGAGCUUGGUCGCGCCGCUGUCUGGAGCUUAGUCGCUGCCUUCCCCUCGCUUGGCUGGAGCUUGGCCGCCGCUCACCGCUGCGUUUAGGGCUCGAUGGCUGCCGCUGUAGUUGCCAUUGGCUGGAGCUCGGCAGGUGAGAGGUAGCCGCUGCCGAUCAAGACGCCGCCGCCGGUGACUCAAGAUACGGCUGCCAAAGUUGGUUGGAUUCUGAAACAUUUGAUCAAUGCCUGUUACCUAUUGUGUAAGAUUUGGGGACUGAAUCUUGUGUGAAUGUUUCAUGUGCUGCUGUGCAUCUCUGCUUUUGUCACUGCUCAUCUUGGACAGAGUUCUUUGAGAAAUCAGGCCUACUUUUGUUCUAUUAAUCUACUCCUAACGUAUUGAUUGUUUCUUCAAGAACAGGGGGAAACGUGAAGUAUUAUUAGUGUGUUUCGCUGCAUCUUUACUCUAGAAUUAUCGAUUGAUUAUUUUCAAAGUGUUUGCAGUGUGUAGCAGAGCAAAGCUAAGGUAAAUACAAUAUAUGGAUGUGGUGCCAAUGUUGCUGCUGGAGCUUGGAAUGGCUUGAGAAGCCGCUUAUUGCACAUUUUUUUCCAAGACAGUUUUUGUAGUUCAGAAGUGAGGAAAAGAAUUUGUCUAUGUGAAUCAGCGGCAGACUCUUGUGACCUGGAGAUUCAACUGAGUGAAUCAGUUGAAUGAGUGAUAAUUUGUAACAGAUGAGCUGUAUCGUCUGAAUUUAAUUGUAUGCAUGCAACACUUAGUAUUAUUAUUGUACAAUUCAUACUGAGCAUGCAUCGAUAGUAGCCAGUAGGAGUGCUCAGUGCAUGCAUCAACAACUA
This is a long non-coding RNA of Triticum aestivum (bread wheat), 1093 nucleotides long. RefSeq lists it as uncharacterized. NCBI's taxonomy places the organism in Eukaryota, Viridiplantae, Streptophyta, Magnoliopsida, Poales, Poaceae. The transcript has 2 exons. The record is from RefSeq and is a predicted model, not a curated record.